CUGUUAUCAAAAGAUUGCUUGAACAACACAAGCCUUGGUGAUGAUCAUGGUGUAUAGGGCAAUGAGACAGAUUGGUGAAUGAUUGAGGCAACAGGAGUGACAGGACCUCAUGACUCUUGGCAUCCAGAAGGCUGGUGUGGGCUCUUUCUCAUAGCAGCUAGGAAGAGAGGGAACAGAAGCUUGAAAGGCUGCCUGAGGCCUAGACCUAGAAUUGGACCAGUGCAAUUCUGCCACAUUCUUUUAAACAAAGCAAGUUACAAGGCUAGCCUAAAUCCAAGAAGGAAAAUAGACUUCACCUCUUGACAGAAGAAGCUGCAAUGUCACACUGCAAAGUGCAUGAUAAAUAAGAACUGAACUAGAAACUUCUGUAAUCACUCAAUCACAUUCCUCCACCAUUAUUCCAAAAAUAUUUGCUCUACACUUCUUUUCAAUGUCCAUACCCUGAUGAAGCCAAAUGAAGUUUGUUGACCAACUUACUUACAACUUACAACCAGCAGAGAAAGCCAGGUUAGAAUCCAAAGUCAAGAAGCAAGACAAAAGAGAGAGAUUGUCAUAAUUCCCAGUUUAUUAUUUGUGUCUUCAGUGUCAACAAGACCAAAAUAAAGCUUCUCCACGCUACCAGCUUUGAAAUGAGAAUUCUGUUCCCUUUAUGUUUGCUUGUCUAUACUUCUAUUAGAUUGAACUACAUGAAAUUGCCAUUUUUUUGGUAAAAUAUGGUCAAAUGUUGGCAAUUUAAGAUGUCUUACCUGUAAUUUGUAAAGUAGACUUGAAAAAAAUGUAGACUUGAAAAAAAAUCAUACUUUGAUUCUUUGGGAAAUGAUGGGAAGUUUUUAGAAUAACCAUACACAGACAUUUUUAAAUAAA
This 864-nucleotide long non-coding RNA is filed under the name Homo sapiens (human). RNAcentral's name for it is "HSALNT0272059". The record is from RNAcentral. Lineage: Eukaryota; Metazoa; Chordata; Mammalia; Primates; Hominidae.